This 46-nucleotide ribosomal RNA is filed under the name uncultured Inocybe. RNAcentral describes it as "partial 28S ribosomal RNA". Lineage: Eukaryota; Fungi; Basidiomycota; Agaricomycetes; Agaricales; Cortinariaceae. The record is from RNAcentral.
UGACAAACUUGACCUCAAAUCAGGUAGGACUACCCGCUGAACUUAA